Molecule: transfer RNA, 75 nt
Filed under: Candidatus Taylorbacteria bacterium RIFCSPHIGHO2_01_FULL_51_15
Lineage: Bacteria; Candidatus Tayloriibacteriota
Description: tRNA-Trp
Rfam family: tRNA
About the family: Transfer RNA (tRNA) molecules are approximately 80 nucleotides in length. Their secondary structure includes four short double-helical elements and three loops (D, anti-codon, and T loops).
Source: RNAcentral
GGGCCUGUAGUUUCAAUGGUAAAACAUCGGUCUCCAAAACCGAGGUUCCGCGUUCGACUCGCGGCGGGCCCGCAA